AUUGAACGCUGGCGGCAUGCUUUACACAUGCAAGUCGAACGGCAGCGCGGGCUUCGGCCUGGCGGCGAGUGGCGAACGGGUGAGUAAUACAUCGGAACGUGCCCAGUAGUGGGGGAUAGCUCGGCGAAAGCCGGAUUAAUACCGCAUACGACCUGAGGGUGAAAGCGGGGGAUCUUCGGACCUCGCGCUAUUGGAGCGGCCGAUGGCAGAUUAGCUAGUUGGUGGGGUAAAGGCCUACCAAGGCGACGAUCUGUAGCUGGUCUGAGAGGACGACAAGCCACACUGGGACUGAGACACGGCCCAGACUCCUACGGGAGGCAGCAGUGGGGAAUUUUGGACAAUGGGCGAAAGCCUGAUCCAGCAAUGCCGCGUGUGUGAUGAAGGCCUUCGGGUUGUAAAGCACUUUUGGCGGGAACGAAAAGGACUGUGCCAAUACCACGGUUCGAUGACGGUACCCGCAGAAUAAGCACCGGCUAACUACGUG
This 484-nucleotide ribosomal RNA is filed under the name uncultured bacterium. RNAcentral's name for it is "partial 16S ribosomal RNA". It matches the Rfam family "Bacterial small subunit ribosomal RNA", at positions 29 to 507 of the family's 1533-position model. The record is from RNAcentral.